RNAcentral lists this ribosomal RNA (301 nucleotides) under uncultured bacterium. RNAcentral's name for it is "partial 16S ribosomal RNA". It matches the Rfam family "Bacterial small subunit ribosomal RNA", at positions 509 to 808 of the family's 1533-position model. The record is from RNAcentral.
CAGUCGCGCGGUAAUACGGAGGGGGCUAGCGUUGUUCGGAAUUACUGGGCGUAAAGCGCACGUAGGCGGCUUGGUAAGUUAGAGGUGAAAGCCCGGAGCUCAACUCCGGAAUUGCCUUUAAGACUGCCGAGCUAGUAGGUGAGAGAGGUAAGUGGAGUUCCGAGUGUAGAGGUGAAAUUCGUAGAUAUUCGGAAGAACACCAGUGGCGAAGGCGGCUUACUGGCUCAUUCUAGACGCUGAGGCGCGAAAGCGUGGGGAGCAAACAGGAUUAGAUACCCGAGUAGUCCCUGUCUCUUAUACC